CAAUAGCGUAUAUUUAAGUUGUUGCAGUUAAAAAGCUCGUAGUUGGAUUUCGGGUAGGAUUUGCCGGUCCGUCUUUGAGAUGUGUACUGGUAAGUCCUAUCUUCUUGUCGGGGACCAGCUCCUGGGCUUCACUGUCCGGGACUGGGAGCCGACGAAGUUACUUUGAGUAAAUUAGAGUGUUCAAAGCAAGCCUACGCUCUGAAUAUAUUAGCAUGGAAUAACACGAUAGGACUCUGGCUUAUCUUGUUGGUCUGUGAGACCAGAGUAAUGAUUAAGAGGGACAGUCGGGGACAUUCGUAUUUCGGCGCUAGAGGUGAAAUUCUUAGAUUGCCGAAAGACAAACUGCUGCGAAAGCGUCUGCCAAGGAUGUUUUCAUUGA
RNAcentral lists this ribosomal RNA (379 nucleotides) under uncultured eukaryote. RNAcentral describes it as "partial 18S ribosomal RNA". It matches the Rfam family "Eukaryotic small subunit ribosomal RNA", at positions 592 to 976 of the family's 1831-position model. The record is from RNAcentral.